UCCCUAGUGGCUCAGAUGGUAAAGCGUCUGCCUACAAUGCAGGAGACCUGGGUUCAAUCCCUGGGUCAGGAA
Molecule: transfer RNA, 72 nt
Filed under: Bos taurus (domestic cattle)
Lineage: Eukaryota; Metazoa; Chordata; Mammalia; Artiodactyla; Bovidae
Also listed under: 3 other names
Rfam family: tRNA
About the family: Transfer RNA (tRNA) molecules are approximately 80 nucleotides in length. Their secondary structure includes four short double-helical elements and three loops (D, anti-codon, and T loops).
Source: Rfam by way of RNAcentral